This 253-nucleotide ribosomal RNA is filed under the name uncultured bacterium. RNAcentral's name for it is "partial 16S ribosomal RNA". It matches the Rfam family "Bacterial small subunit ribosomal RNA", at positions 524 to 776 of the family's 1533-position model. The record is from RNAcentral.
UACGAAGGGGGCUAGCGUUGUUCGGAAUUGCUGGGCGUAAAGCGCACGCAGGUGGUUUUAUAAGUCAGGGGUGAAAUCCCGGGGCUCAACCUCGGAAUUGCCUUUGAUACUGUCUAUCUUGAGUCCGGGAGAGGUGAGUGGAAUUCCUAGUGUAGAGGUGAAAUUCGUAGAUAUUAGGAAGAACACCAGUGGCGAAGGCGGCUCACUGGCCCGGUACUGACGCUCAAGUGCGUAAGCGUGAGGAGCAAACAGG